RNAcentral lists this ribosomal RNA (1013 nucleotides) under Escherichia coli. RNAcentral describes it as "partial 23S ribosomal RNA". It matches the Rfam family "Bacterial large subunit ribosomal RNA", at positions 498 to 1515 of the family's 2925-position model. Lineage: Bacteria; Pseudomonadati; Pseudomonadota; Gammaproteobacteria; Enterobacterales; Enterobacteriaceae. The record is from RNAcentral.
GUACCGUGAGGGAAAGGCGAAAAGAACCCCGGCGAGGGGAGUGAAAAAGAACCUGAAACCGUGUACGUACAAGCAGUGGGAGCACGCUUAGGCGUGUGACUGCGUACCUUUUGUAUAAUGGGUCAGCGACUUAUAUUCUGUAGCAAGGUUAACCGAAUAGGGGAGCCGAAGGGAAACCGAGUCUUAACUGGGCGUUAAGUUGCAGGGUAUAGACCCGAAACCCGGUGAUCUAGCCAUGGGCAGGUUGAAGGUUGGGUAACACUAACUGGAGGACCGAACCGACUAAUGUUGAAAAAUUAGCGGAUGACUUGUGGCUGGGGGUGAAAGGCCAAUCAAACCGGGAGAUAGCUGGUUCUCCCCGAAAGCUAUUUAGGUAGCGCCUCGUGAAUUCAUCUCCGGGGGUAGAGCACUGUUUCGGCAAGGGGGUCAUCCCGACUUACCAACCCGAUGCAAACUGCGAAUACCGGAGAAUGUUAUCACGGGAGACACACGGCGGGUGCUAACGUCCGUCGUGAAGAGGGAAACAACCCAGACCGCCAGCUAAGGUCCCAAAGUCAUGGUUAAGUGGGAAACGAUGUGGGAAGGCCCAGACAGCCAGGAUGUUGGCUUAGAAGCAGCCAUCAUUUAAAGAAAGCGUAAUAGCUCACUGGUCGAGUCGGCCUGCGCGGAAGAUGUAACGGGGCUAAACCAUGCACCGAAGCUGCGGCAGCGACGCUGAUGCGUUGUUGGGUAGGGGAGCGUUCUGUAAGCCUGUGAAGGUGUGCUGUGAGGCAUGCUGGAGGUAUCAGAAGUGCGAAUGCUGACAUAAGUAACGAUAAAGCGGGUGAAAAGCCCGCUCGCCGGAAGACCAAGGGUUCCUGUCCAACGUUAAUCGGGGCAGGGUGAGUCGACCCCUAAGGCGAGGCCGAAAGGCGUAGUCGAUGGGAAACAGGUUAAUAUUCCUGUACUUGGUGUUACUGCGAAGGGGGGACGGAGAAGGCUAUGUUGGCCGGGCGACGGUUGUCCCGGUUUAA